This 1597-nucleotide long non-coding RNA is filed under the name Ficedula albicollis (Collared flycatcher). RNAcentral's name for it is "lncRNA (ENSFALG00000023369.1)". The record is from RNAcentral. Lineage: Eukaryota; Metazoa; Chordata; Aves; Passeriformes; Muscicapidae.
CAUCCAUACAAGCCAUUGGUACAAUCCAUCAGCACAAUCCAUCGGUACAACCCAUCAGUACAACCCAUCGGCGAUCCAUACAAGCCAUUGGUACAAUCCAUCAGCACAAUCCAUCGGUACAACCCAUCGGCGCAAUCCAUCAGUACGAUCCAUCAGGACAACCUAUCGGUACAAUCCAUCCAUACAAGCCAUUGGUACAAUCCAUCAGCACAAUCCAUCGGUACAAUCCAUUGACACAAUCCAUCGGUACAAUCCAUCAACACAAUCCAUCAGCACAAUCCAUCGCUGCAAUCCAUUUGCACUAUCGGUACAAUCCAUUGGUACAACCCAUCGGUACAAUCCAUCGGCACAAUCCACCAGCAAAAUUCAUUGGAGCAACCCAUAAGCAUGAUCCAUCAGCUCAAUCAUCCAUCGGUACACUCAUCCAUUGACACAAUCCGUCGGCACGAUCAUCCAUUGGCAAGAUCAUCCAUUGGCAGUCAUCCAUCAGCACAGUCAUCCAUUGACACAAUCCAUCAGCAUGAUCAUCCAUCGGCACAGUCCACCAGCAAAAUCAUCCAUCAGCAAAAUCCAUUGCCACAAUUAUCCACUGCCACAAUCCACUGGCACAGCCCAGCCUCAGUGUGCCAUAUAGACAGGCUUACCAAUGAAAAUUUAGGACCCUUAAAUUUAGAGCUGCAUUGUGAGUGCAGAACUCCUCCAAGUUUGGCCCUAUAAUCCUUUGGGCUUUCAUUCUGUCUGAUGGGGUUAAUGAUGGGCUUUUAAACCCAGUUUUUCACUUAGUCUUUGUGGCAGGGACUGCCUUCAACAGAGUUCCACUGUCAGCAAAAACGUUGAGAUGCUUCUUGAUUAGAUAUGAUAAGUAACACACAUACAAUGCAACUGAAAUCUUCAAAAUUUCUCUCCCCUUCAGCCAAGUGGGAGCAUUAUGUUUCUUCACCUUUUCAUAUAAUGUGCUGGGUUAGAAGGGACCUGUCAAGAUCAAUAUACGGUAAAAGGUAAUAAAUAAAAGGUAAAAAAUCUGCAUAGUAACUCAAAAAUGUGUCACAUAAAGAGCUGCAUGAACUUACUCUUGUAAAUGCCAUUCCAAAAAUUAGACUGUACCCUUUCUUCAAAUAUAUACUUUAUUUUCAAAAUUCAUUUGUUAUUAAAAUUAUAGCAAAUAAAAAAAUGCCAUGACAUAUUAUUAAAAAAGUUGCUUGUUUUCAUAAGAAGCUGGAAAUUAAUUUUAGAGGACAUUAUUGUUGCUUUUGGUCUAAUGCAAACAGGGUUAUUGUACCUUUAUGUGACUGUUAUAUGGAGCAGAAUUUAACUUUACAAGAAACAAACAUCUUGUGUUCUAAUUGAAUUGAACAACUAUAUACAAGAAAUAUUCAUUUCUUUAUUAUUGCUUUUUCCAGCCAUUGUUGUCAUAGGCAGAUGUAACUUUUAUUUCCUUUUCCCUCUGACAAUUUUAGCUCCCUGUCUCUGGGGAAAUAAAUCAGCAGAACAUUGUCUUUGCUUUUUAGAACCUCAAGACGAGAGAAGAGAAGAGAAGAGAAGAGAAGAGAAGAGAAGAGAAGAGAAGAGAAGAGAAGAGAAGAGAAGAGAAGAGAAG